CCUCACUUGUGGGGGGAUUAGUGGCGAACGGGUGAGUAACACGUGAGUAACCUGCCCUUAACUCUGGGAUAAGCCUGGGAAACUGGGUCUAAUACCGGAUAUGACUCCUCAUCGCAUGGUGGGGGGUGGAAAGCUUUUUGUGGUUUUGGAUGGACUCGCGGCCUAUCAGCUUGUUGGUGAGGUAAUGGCUCACCAAGGCGACGACGGGUAGCCGGCCUGAUAGGGUGACCGGCCACACUGGGACUGAGACACGGCCCAGACUCCUACGGGAGGCAGCAGUGGGGAAUAUUGCACAAUGGGCGCAAGCCUGAUGCAGCGACGCCGCGUGAGGGAUGACGGCCUUCGGGUUGUAAACCUCUUUCAGUAGGGAAGAAGCGAAAGUGACGGUACCUGCAGAAGAAGCGCCGGCUAACUACGUGCCAGCAGCCGCGGUAAUACGUAGGGCGCAAGCGUUAUCCGGAAUUAUUGGGCGUAAAGAGCUCGUAGGCGGUUUGUCGCGUCUGCCGUGAAAGUCCGGGGCUCAACUCCGGAUCUGCGGUGGGUACGGGCAGACUAGAGUGAUGUAGGGGAGACUGGAAUUCCUGGUGUAGCGGUGAAAUGCGCAGAUAUCAGGAGGAACACCGAUGGCGAAGGCAGGUCUCUGGGCAUUAACUGACGCUGAGGAGCGAAAGCAUGGGGAGCGAACAGGAUUAGAUACCCUGGUAGUCCAUGCCGUAAACGUUGGGCACUAGGUGUGGGGGACAUUCCACGUUUUCCGCGCCGUAGCUAACGCAUUAAGUGCCCCGCCUGGGGAGUACGGC
Molecule: ribosomal RNA, 800 nt
Filed under: Arthrobacter sp.
Lineage: Bacteria; Bacillati; Actinomycetota; Actinomycetes; Micrococcales; Micrococcaceae
Description: bacterial SSU rRNA
Rfam family: Bacterial small subunit ribosomal RNA
Source: RNAcentral